RNAcentral lists this ribosomal RNA (173 nucleotides) under Vates sp. MN421. Its description in RNAcentral is "partial 16S ribosomal RNA". It matches the Rfam family "Bacterial large subunit ribosomal RNA", at positions 2425 to 2600 of the family's 2925-position model. Lineage: Eukaryota; Metazoa; Arthropoda; Insecta; Mantodea; Mantidae. The record is from RNAcentral.
GAUGUAUGAUCCAUAAUUAAUGAUUAAGAGAUUAAAUUACCUUAGGGAUAACAGCAUAAUUCUUUUUGAGAGUUCAUAUUGAAAAAAGAGAUUGUGACCUCGAUGUUGGAUUAAGAUUAGUUUUGGGUGCAGAUGUUCAAUAACUAGGUCUGUUCGACCUUGAAAAUCUUACA